RNAcentral lists this unclassified non-coding RNA (217 nucleotides) under Glomeraceae sp. RNAcentral's name for it is "partial contains 5.8S ribosomal RNA and internal transcribed spacer 2". The stretch from base 1 to 71 matches the Rfam family "5.8S ribosomal RNA", at positions 84 to 154 of the family's 154-position model. The record is from RNAcentral. Lineage: Eukaryota; Fungi; Glomeromycota; Glomeromycetes; Glomerales; Glomeraceae.
GUGAAUCAUCAAAUUUUUGAACGCAAAUUGCACUCUCUGGUAUUCCGGAGAGUAUGCCUGUUUGAGGGUCAGUUUAAAUAGAAAUCGGUGUGGUUGCUGCCUUUCGUGGUGACGCACCGGAUGUGGGUCGUCUUGCCUUCGGUUAAGUGACCUAAAAUUUUGCAUGAUUUUUUCUGAAGGUUUUUAAUUAUUUUUAGGUAGGUUUGCGUGUUAGAUU